This 72-nucleotide transfer RNA is filed under the name Arcanobacterium sp. S3PF19. It matches the Rfam family "tRNA". From Rfam's summary of the family: Transfer RNA (tRNA) molecules are approximately 80 nucleotides in length. Their secondary structure includes four short double-helical elements and three loops (D, anti-codon, and T loops). Lineage: Bacteria; Bacillati; Actinomycetota; Actinomycetes; Actinomycetales; Actinomycetaceae. The record is from Rfam by way of RNAcentral.
GUGGCCGUAGCUCAGUGGUAGAGCACCUGGUUGUGGUCCAGGGGGUCGCGGGUUCGAGCCCCGUCGGCCACC